RNAcentral lists this ribosomal RNA (277 nucleotides) under uncultured bacterium. RNAcentral describes it as "partial 16S ribosomal RNA". It matches the Rfam family "Bacterial small subunit ribosomal RNA", at positions 28 to 306 of the family's 1533-position model. The record is from RNAcentral.
GAUAAACGCUGGCGGCGUGCAUGAGACAUGCAAGUCGAACGGACGAUCAGGGCUUGCUCUGAUCGUUAGUGGCGGACGGCUGAGUAACGCGUAGGUGACCUGCCCCGAAGUGGGGAAUAACUGCCCGAAAGGGUGGCUAAUACCGCAUGCGGAGCCGCGUUCGAUCGUGUCUCCAAAGCCGCAAGGCGCUUCGGGAGGGGCCUGCGUCCGAUUAGCUCGUUGGUGGGGUAACGGCUCACCAAGGCGACGAUCGGUAGGUGGUCUGAGAGGACGAUCA